GACGAACGCUGGCGGCGUGCUUAACACAUGCAAGUCGAACGGAAGGGCCCUGCUCUUGUGGGGUGCUCGAGAGGCGAACGGGUGAGUAACACGCGAGUAACCUGUCCUUGACUUUGGGAUAACUUCUGGGAACUGGGGCUAAUACAGGAUAGGAGCUCCUGCUGCAUGGUGGGGGUUGGAAAGGUUCGGCGGUUGGGGAUGGACUCGCGGCUUAGCAGCUUGUUGGUGGGGUAGUGGCUUACCAAGGCUUUGACGGGUAGCCGGCCUGAGCGGGGGACCGGCCACAUUGGGACUGCGAUACGGCCCAGACUCCUACGGGAGGCAGCAGUGGGGAAUAUUGCACAAUGAGCGGAAGCGUGUUGCAGCAGCCCCGCGUGCGGGAUGACGGCCUUCGGGUUGUAAACCGCUUUCGCCUGUGACGAAGCGUGAGUGACGGUAAUGGGUAAAGAAGCACCGGCUAACUACGUG
RNAcentral lists this ribosomal RNA (468 nucleotides) under uncultured bacterium. RNAcentral's name for it is "partial 16S ribosomal RNA". It matches the Rfam family "Bacterial small subunit ribosomal RNA", at positions 28 to 507 of the family's 1533-position model. The record is from RNAcentral.